This 356-nucleotide ribosomal RNA is filed under the name uncultured bacterium. RNAcentral's name for it is "bacterial SSU rRNA". It matches the Rfam family "Bacterial small subunit ribosomal RNA", at positions 1010 to 1365 of the family's 1533-position model. The record is from RNAcentral.
GGUGGUCCUCUUCGGGACGGCUGUAGAGGUGCGUGCAUGGCUGUCGUCAGCUCGUGCCGUGAGGUGUUUGGGUUAAGUCCCGCAACGAGCGCAACCCUUGCCCUUAGUUGCCAUUCAGGUUAUUGCUGGGCACUCUAAGGGGACUGCCCCGAAUAACGGGGAGGAAGGUGGGGAUGACGUCAAGUCCUCAUGGCCCUUACGUCCAGGGCUACACACGUGCUACAAUGGCCGGUACAGCGGGAAGCAAUACCGCGAGGUGGAGCAAAUCCCUAAAAACCGGUCUCAGUCUUGCAGUCUGCAACUCGACUGCAUGAAGUCGGAAUCGCUAGUAAUCGCGGAUCAGCACGCCGCGUGAU